Molecule: long non-coding RNA, 928 nt
Filed under: Equus caballus (horse)
Lineage: Eukaryota; Metazoa; Chordata; Mammalia; Perissodactyla; Equidae
Description: lncRNA (ENSECAG00000058191.1)
Source: RNAcentral
GCAACAUAUGACCUCUUACUAUCUAAGGAAAUGGGUAAAAUCCUACUCUCAAAGUAGUUUUGGGCCAAGCUGGAUGUAUAGCGAUUUGAAGAGAAGAUGGAUGAAAGAUACCCACGAGGAAAGCUACAUGGCCUCAUUGGCAGCUGUUCUUUUGCCCCUGUUUGCAAAUCAGAGGCAAGUAACCCAUGAGCAAUAAAAACUCAAGAUGACUCGUUUGGGAUGAUAAAAGCCAUACUCAAUCACUCACCUAUCAAUGAAAAUGUUAUGACUGUUAUUGAGCAGUGUCCUACAUGUGAUAAAAUAUUUUUAAAAACACAAAAUUAAAUGACAUCUGUGUCAAGAGAGUUCUAUUCCCCUGGUCUCUCUGUCACCUCUAACAGUUCAGCUCAUCUUUGAAGGCUGCAGAACCUUGAAAGCAGCAACUUUAGUUGAAAGAAGGAAGAGGAGACCAAGGUUUCUGCACUGGGCUUGGAUAGACAUCAUGAUGGAAGGAGAGACUCCUGGUCUUGCCCUGAAGUCUUCCGCCCUUCGCUUAACUCACAGUCAGUCCGACACUGACUGUCAUCCCAAGAUUGUGGUGAUGCUUGGUCUCCAGUCUGGACUUUCCCUGUUCUUUGCAGAAAUGAGUUUUUCAUAGGAUAUCCACACAACUCCAUGUCCCCUCUCUUAUUCAUUUUACACGUCACCUCUGAGCUCUAGGACACUUUAAAAGGAGCCUUUGGGUCUAAACUCUAAAGACUGGGGUUAACUUUACUCCAGGACUUCUAGAAAAUAUUGUUAAACUGUGGUCUCUUAAGAAUAGUUGAAGGUGGGAUAAGGGCAGAAGCUGAUUUCCACCCAAAUAAUAAUCAAGAUGUUUUCAUUAUUUAGGAGUUUAAUGUUCAAAUAAUCAUAUUUAUUCUUCUGAUCUAAUUUUACUGGUACAACA